GCUAAGAAUAUUCCGCAAUGGACGAAAGUCUGACGGAGCGACGCCGCGUGGAUGAGGAAGGCCGAAAGGUUGUAAAGUCCUUUUGUCGAUGAAGAAUAAGUGGUGGAGGGAAUGCCAUCAUGAUGACGUUAGUCGGCGAAUAAGCCCCGGCUAAUUACGUGCCAGCAGCCGCGGUAACACGUAAGGGGCAAGCGUUGUUCGGAAUUAUUGGGCGUAAAGGGUACGUAGGCGGUUAUGUAAGCCCGGCGUGAAAUCCUGCAGCUGAACUGUAGAGCUGCGCUGGGAACUGCGUAACUUGAGUCAUGGAAGGGAAGUUAGAAUUCCAGGUGUAGGGGUGAAAUCUGUAGAUAUCUGGAAGAAUACCGGUGGCGAAGGCGAACUUCUGGCCAAUGACUGACGCUGAGGUACGAAAGUGCGGGGAGCAAACAGGAUUAGAUACCCGAGUAGUCC
Molecule: ribosomal RNA, 450 nt
Filed under: uncultured bacterium
Lineage: Bacteria
Description: partial 16S ribosomal RNA
Rfam family: Bacterial small subunit ribosomal RNA
Source: RNAcentral